AUGUAUUCCAAGGAGGAAUACUGGAGACAGCGGGGUUCUAUGAAUUGGGUGCUAUUUGGAGAUGCCAAUACCGCCUACUUCCAGGCCAUUGCCAAUGGCCGUAGACGCCGCUGCUCUAUCCCCCUCUUAUGGGAGGGUGGACAAUUGUUCCAGGAUCCUCAAGCGAUCCGCUCCUUAGUCAACGACUUUUAUAAGUCGUUAUUUCAGGGGCGCCCUCGGAGUGGCGUCGCUUUAGCAGACCACAUUUGG
RNAcentral lists this ribosomal RNA (249 nucleotides) under Triticum aestivum (bread wheat). Its description in RNAcentral is "partial small subunit ribosomal RNA". Lineage: Eukaryota; Viridiplantae; Streptophyta; Magnoliopsida; Poales; Poaceae. The record is from RNAcentral.